Molecule: RNA transcript, 13767 nt
Organism: Ailuropoda melanoleuca (giant panda)
Lineage: Eukaryota; Metazoa; Chordata; Mammalia; Carnivora; Ursidae
Gene: ADRB2
Gene name: adrenoceptor beta 2
Exons: 5
Source: RefSeq, a predicted model, not a curated record
AUAACGGGCAGCGCGCACUCCGGGGCGGCUUCUCCUGAGCGCCGGCUAGGUCCAACGCGCGCGGGGAGCCCGGAGCACCCCGCAAGCUGAGUGCAGGACGCGCCCCCAGCACAGCCACCCCCCGGCCGCUGAAUGAGGCUUCCCGGCGUCCGCUCGCGGCCCGCAGCGCCGCGCCCGAGGUCCGCCCGCUGAGGCGCGGCCGGUGCGCCGGCAGCCAGUGCGCUCACCUGCCAGCCUGCGCGCCAUGGGGCAGCCAGGGAACCGCAGCGUCUUCUUGCUGGCGCCCAACGGAAGCCACGCGCCGGACCAAGAUGGCACGCAGGAACGGGACGAGGCGUGGGUGGUGGGCAUGGGCAUCGUCAUGUCGCUCAUCGUCCUGGCCAUCGUGUUUGGAAACGUGCUGGUCAUCACAGCCAUCGCCAGGUUCGAGCGUCUGCAGACGGUCACCAACUACUUCAUCACCUCCCUGGCCUGUGCUGACCUGGUCAUGGGCCUGGCGGUGGUGCCCUUUGGGGCCAGCCACAUCCUCAUGAAAAUGUGGACCUUUGGCAACUUCUGGUGUGAGUUUUGGACAUCCAUUGACGUGCUGUGCGUCACGGCCAGCAUCGAGACCCUGUGCGUGAUCGCAGUGGAUCGCUACUUUGCUAUCACAUCACCCUUCAAGUACCAGAGCCUGCUGACCAAGAAUAAGGCCCGGGUGGUCAUUUUGAUGGUGUGGAUCGUGUCAGGCCUUACCUCCUUCUUGCCCAUCCAGAUGCACUGGUACCGGGCUACCCACCAGGAAGCCAUCAACUGCUAUGCCAAGGAGACCUGCUGUGACUUCUUCACGAACCAAGCUUAUGCCAUUGCCUCCUCCAUUGUGUCCUUCUACUUACCCCUGGUGGUCAUGGUCUUCGUCUACUCCAGGGUCUUCCAGGUGGCCCAAAGGCAGCUCCAGAAGAUUGACAAAUCGGAGGGCCGUUUCCAUGCCCAAAACCUCAGCCAAGUGGAGCAGGAUGGGCGGAGCGGGCAUGGACAUCGCAGGGCCUCCAAGUUCUGCCUGAAGGAACACAAAGCCCUCAAAACUCUGGGCAUCAUCAUGGGCACUUUCACCCUGUGCUGGCUGCCCUUCUUCAUCGUCAACAUAGUGCACGUGAUCCAGGAUAACCUCAUCCCUAAGGAAGUUUACAUCCUCCUAAACUGGGUGGGCUAUGUCAACUCUGCUUUCAAUCCCCUUAUCUAUUGCCGGAGCCCAGACUUCAGGAUCGCCUUCCAGGAGCUUCUGUGCCUGCGCAGGUCUUCUCUGAAGGCCUAUGGGAAUGGCUACUCCAACAACAGCAACAGCAGAAGCGACUAUGCUGGGGAGCACAGUGGAUGUCACCUGGGGCAGGAGAAAGACAGCGAACUGCUGUGUGAGGACCCCCCAGGCACGGAAGACCUUGUGAACCGUCAAGGAAUUUCAGAAACUGGGCAAACCCAUCUAUGAUGAUAGAAGACACAAGAGCGGCUGACGUUGGGACCAGCUCUCAUCUUAAAAACUACUUGGAAGCCGAGAGGUCAUCCCAUCAAACCUCCCACCCAAAACAGGCGUUCCCGUUGCAACCCUCUGGUGAGUGUUUGCUCAGCCUGGCCCGAGCCCUCCCAGAGAAGCCUGCUCCGCUUACCAGAAAGCCUUUUCUACUGCCGGACACCCCGAGAUAUUAGAAAGCUCUGCUCCUUUUAAUGAGACAAAAUAUGUCUUGUGGUGAUUUCUACCCUACGUCCUGGUGCUGUCUCUGGGGGACCCAAAAGGGACAUGGGACCCCCCUUUCCUAUGAUAGGCCUCAGAAAUUAGGAGACUCACUGAGUCUUUCACCACCAAGCUGAAGAGCCUGGCUCCUGAGAAUGUUCCUCGCCCAUUGCCCCUCAUCGCCUUCCUGUGGGCCUCGUCACACUGGCACGGCCACAGCCUACUCGCCUUGGUGUCCUCUGUGGGACCCAGUCCAGGACCUGCCACACAGGAGUAGGUGCAGUGUGACUGGUUAUUUGAGUUUACCUGAGCAAGGAAACUGCAAGAGGAAAGAAAAUGCAGCAAAAAAAUGCAAGUCUGGGGCCUCGCCAGCAUCGCAUAGACAGCAGCCAGAUCCAUGUCUAGAUCUGGGGCCAUUUUCCAGGUCCUCCCUGGGAGGGGCCAUCUUCCCCACACGCUGUAGUUGGGCUAGGGGGCCGCUGAUCUCUGCCCAAGACCUGAAAGGGGCUUUCUGGGGAUCACCGUUAUGACACCAGUGCCUCGGCCCAGGGCCUGGCCCCCAGAGGAGACCAGAGAAACACCAAAUAGACGAAUGAGCACCAGCAGCUUGUUGUGCUCCUAUCGCAUGCCGAGUUCUUCUGUGCAUGACGCUUACCUCCUUCACGCCUUCCAGAGUUGUGAUUGUAUUAUGAACAUACCCAUUUUACAGACAAGGAAACCACAAAGCCAAGAGGUUAGGAAGCACACCCAGAGUGACUCAACCACUAAGUAGAGAAGCCACAGUUCAAACCCAGAUGUGCCUACAUCGAGAGCCCAUUCUUAACUGCACCAUACCCCCUCCUACGGGCAAAAAGGAAAGAGAACAGGGGGGCGGGUAGAAAGGCUUUCAGAAAAAGAAAGAGCGUGGGAAACAGCUCUGUGAACAGUCAACCUCUCUGUAAGAAGCAGCAACAGGACCGGUGUGAGAGCAGGGCCCCUCUAGACCAAGUCACAUUCAGGUUUUCUAACCUAGAAAUGAGAGCUGGAAAAUUCCAGAUUCUGAUGCCCCUAGUUGGCAUGCAGACGCCGUUUUGGGGUUGAGUUUUCCGAGCUCUGGAGCCCCCUGCAUUCACAGGCGCAUGAAGACCUCCAGGCAUCUCUUCCUCUAACUGCAGUGGGCAAGCACGAGUCUUUGCCCCCCAUCCACGUCUUUUGAGAGAUCUAGCCACAAACAGUGAGGCCAGACCAGCCCCCAAAGUCCACCACGGUGCACCCUGGCCCCCUGAUAUUCCCUCCUCUACCCCAGACAUUCUUCCAGGCCCUGCCAGCUUCCACUGCAUCUCUCAAACACACACACUGUCUGGCUUUUGCCCCCAUCAGGCCACAAGGGUUUUGCAGGCACGUGUCCCUCUUGACACCUGCCCUAAAAAAAAAUUACAGCUGAAACCCCCUCUCCCAGCUCUGCAUACACUGAUGAAUGACACUGGGCCAUGCAGGCCACUUCACACAAAGUAAGGAGCCAGUCUCCAUACCAAGAGACCUGUGUUCCCCAGCCUGUUCCCUUCAACCCAGCUGGAGAGAUCUUCCAGAAGCAGCAAGACCCCAAGCUCAUCCCUUUCUUUAUUCUACUGCUUGCAACUUUCAUGGUGCUCCACCGUGUUUAGAACAUGGACUCAAAUCCCAUGAAGCCCGUCGGAUCUUCUCCCAGCUUCCCCGGCAUCCCCCACUCCUGCAUGGGCCAGUUUUCUGAACCUCAGGAUACGUGCUUGUCCCUCUGCCCAGACAAGCUCUCUCGUGCUCCUUCCGAACCUCUUGCCCUCAAGGCAGGCGUCACUCAACGCCAGGCGAUGCCCCUUCUCUGAGGCCUCAGAAGCCCCUCUACUCCUCACUGCUUACCUUUAAUGAUUUGUUUAAAGUCUAGUCCCCUGAUAGAGUCUAAGCUGCACGAAGCCACAGACCCAUCUACUGUGCUCACCGCUGUCUCCCAGAGCCAGAGUAAUCACGGAGGCAACUCUGGCUGUACGCAGGCCUUCUCGCCCAGCCGCGGGCUCUCCUCGGCAUCCGCCCCGGGCACCUCCCUCGCGAGCACUAGGCCUCCGUUUCACCAGCUGCAAGGAGGCACAUGGCUGAGGUCCCUCCGAGGCCUCUCGCCAUGCUAAUGUCCAGGUGCCACUUGACAACAUGUACUUGUAGCAUCAGGCCGAAGCACGAUCAUUCUAGAACUCCAUGGAGGAAGACCCUGGGAAUGUAACUCCCUCCUGUGCUGUGGGCUGUGUUUACAAAACAAACCCAAGAAAAUCAUCAUAAAUCAUUCCAAGUGGAGCUGCCUGGGUUGAAGCAACAAGACAAAAAUACUUCUGGGCACCGCUCCUCUGGGCCCCCACCCAGCUGAAGAGAAGCAGGGCCAGACGGGCUGUGCCCUCGGAAGCGUCAGUUGCUGGCUUUGUCUCUCCACACCGGACCCCUCUAUGGGGACUUUGCUCCUUCCCUUCAGACUUUUACUCCCUGCCACUAUCUGCAGUGUCUUACUGCCUUGCGAAAGGGAAAUGACCCCAGAAGACCAGGGACUGGGUUCUAGGUCAGCCCUUUCUGAGAUGCGUGUAACCUUCCAUAACUUUUUCUUUCAUUCUGAUCUGUCAAAGCGGGGAUAUAACUUCUGCUCUAAUGACCAUAGAAAAACAAGGAGGAGAAAUAUUUUUACAAUCUUCAAGAGCCACACAAAUGCAGGCUUACUUUUGGCCAUUGUUUCUGGCUGGCUCGCUGACUAAAACGUGGCCACAAAGGCCCGGCAUUUUCUCUCUCACUGAGGAAUGGAAGGCCUGGUCCCCAGGUCAAAGAAUCUCAGGCAUCCGAGUAGCAGGUGGUUCAAUCACCCUGGACUGGCUCCACUUGCCCUAAAGGUAAACCUAAUUCAAGCCUUACACAGUGUCCCUGAGUUGGGGUCAGCGGCCUGAGCUUGACGCCAGAUCCGGUCCCAGGAGCUGUUGCUGGAUGCAAGAACACCUGGGGCCCUGUGACCCUGGGGGCUUUGAAGCCCUCAUGCGGCUGAAGGGUUCAAGCGUGUACCUUUCCAGACAGGCUUUGGUUCAGUUUCUCUCUGCCUCUUAUAGCUUCCCACGCUUCUGUUUGCUCUUCAAGGAAACAGAGUUGAUUGACCUGAAUAUUAAAAGUUAUGGUGCAUGUAAUGCGUUUAGUUUUGUGAACAUGUCACAUGUUAGGCAUUUAAAAAAUAAUAUUAUUGUUAUUGUUGUUGUCAUUUAUAUUCUAGGGCUUGCAGACACACACAUACACACACCCUGGUCUUCUCUGAGUUCCCUGAGUGCUUUUUCCACUUCCUGCCCUGUCUAGCCUUGCCUUGUCCUUCCUGUUUUCCUCUAACAACAUUGCUAGACAAAGAUUUCUAAAUUUACCUUAUAAUUUACCUAAUUUUACUCUGCAUUGCUCAGUAAACACCUUUGGAAACAAAAGUUCUAGACAAACAAGUCUCUGGGUCAACAAGAGGACCAAAUUCAAGCACCAUUAUGGGGCUCCCUAGGCAUCCGGGCAACAUGGCACAGGAAAUCGAGGCCCAGACUACUUGGAGUUGAGAUUUUUAGACCCGGCUUGGCCACAGAUGAGAAUUGUCAUAGGAUUUAAUAUCCCUGACAUCUUAGUCUUCCUACCUAUAAAACUAAACCAUCUAUUUUUUUGUUGGCUUAUAAGCCUUUUCUUCUAGUCAGAUAAAACUCUGUUUCUAUAAGAAAUCUUCAACAGAAUGUCAGUAUAUACAAUAUGUAACAGCUCUGGAUAUAGGAAGGGGACAGACCGCUUUUCUUGCCUUCGCACAGUCUUGCCCCUGCAGCUCAUCCCCAGGGCAGCCAGUAGCUCCCACGGGCACCCGUAAGGCUUCCUAGAGUCCUGCUUACACACCUCUUUGUGCCUCUGCCUUCUCAGCAGUUGAAUGGGGAUAAUAACUACCCCUCCACCACAGGGUUGGUUGUCACAAUUAAAUGAGUUAACCCAGAUAAAGCCCUCAGCAUUGUGCCUGGACUAAAGUACUCAGGAAUUGUUAAAUAGUAAGAUUAUUACUACCGUCACUUGAUGGCUGAGGUGCCUCUUACGCAGAAGCAUUAGAAAUUCGUGAUCGUGCAGAUCUGUCAUACGUGUAUACGUGCCCAUGUAUACAAAUUAUAAAUUACUCCAGCCCUCCAUUAUGCCCCCUCCACUGUCUUUACGGACACAGGAGGAGAUAUGAUAUUAUUUCAGAAGACGGAUAGAUUCUGUUUCUAUGGAAAGCAUGUUCUAUAAAACAAUACUUCAAUAUUUUUUUCACUCCUUGAUUUUUCUGACACACAGAGCUCCCAUUCUGUAUGCCAGGGUUGGUGCUGGGACUAAAAAUAGAAGGGGCAAGUAAAGAAAAAGAGAACUCGCAUUAACAACACAGCCAGUCUAUGUUUAAUGCCUAAUGGCCCCUGCCGUCAUUUGUCCGACAAAUAUUUAUUGUGCAAUUCCUAUGAGCCGGACAGCGUGCUGAGGACAUGGCGACAAUGAAGAGAAGCCAGGCCCCAGUCCUGCAGAGCUGCUCUCUAAGGGGAUCAGUAGGGAUUAUGUGGAAAGGAGGGUUCCCCCGAGCUGAGGGUGUGGGAGGUGGGGUGUGGGAAGAAAGGGCCGCCAGAGUGCAGAGAAUAAGGUAAGACUGACUUCGGCAGGGUUCGAUUCCAGAGCGGAACAAGGGUGUAAGCCUAGGUGAGGUGGGGCUAAAGGGAACAGCAUGUACAAAAUUAUUUAUCCAAGGGAUUUCCAAGAACAUCACUGUUUGCUUCUAUUAAUUUGCUCCUAGGAGGACACACACUGCUUUUUUUGGGAACCAACUUUUUGUGUUCUAACUAAGCUCUUCUGUAAACAGCUGCUGAAGGGACACUUGACAUAAGCAACAUGAUUUUAAAUGAUCCUAGCAUUAAUCUUCUCUUCCUGAGUAAUAGGCCAGAGUCUUGUUUCACAGGACUUUUCAUUCUGGGAAGGUAGCUUGAAAAAUCUUAAUUUCCUAUAGGGACACUGAGCAUGACUUUCGAUACGGUGCCCAGGAAAGCGCUGAGAUAUGGGGAAGACCCAGAUUUGAACCCUAGAUUCUUACUAAUAGAACUUCCUCUCUCUCAACCCGUUUCCUCUUUGGUAAAAUGUGGAGCCUGACGCUCACCACAACACGGGACUAUCAGGUGAGACCACAGAUGGGAAAGUGCCCUGGAGACAUCAAGGCAUAUAGAAGUCAUUUGUAUUUAUUUUAAUAACUUCCUUUCUUUCUUUGUUUUCCUUGCUCCUGAGCGUAAUGAAAUUGGAUCAUUUUUAGGGCUCCCGUUUGUUUUGUUUGAGAAGGAAGGAUCGAUAUCUUGCAAUGGCCUUGCAAUUCUCUUGGGCUCACAUGUCACCAAAGAACCUCCAAUGCAAUCUGUCGCAGAAGCCCAUUCAACAACGCACCUCCUUGGGCUGACCCUAACAGCCUAAGAUCCAAGGUGUCGGGACCAUGCCAUUUGGAUUCAGACAGACCUGGGAUUCAAUACCAUCUUUGCCACUUUCUUCUUGUGACCUUGCACAGAUCGGUGGAUUUCUCUACGCUCAUUUGCCCACGUGCUCAUCCAACAAACACUCAUUGAGCCCCUGUGUCCCAGGCGCUGUUGCUAGGUGUUGGAUGAAGAGCAACGCAAGAGGCAGGCAGCCUUUGCCCUCACACGGCUCUGAGUGGGGGAGCAAGAGAACAAGUGAAAUCACAAAGGAACACUAACAAAAUAACACACUGCGAUGAGCCCUAUAAAAGAGACCCUGAGGAACAGAGCUCAACGAUGCUGGAGGCGGGACUCAAGGACCUGCCGAGUACAAUGGACAUCAUGGCCUAGAGCAGCGUUUCUCAACCUCGGCACCUUGGACCUUUGGGGCCUGAUACCUGGGGUGGGGAUGGGGGGACCAUCCUGCGCAUCGCACAAUGUUGAAUAGCACCCCCCUCCUCUACCCACUGGUUGCCGGAAGCCAACCCCCUCCUGCACCGUGUUGAGCACAAACACCCCCAAGACACUGCAGGGGUGCUCUGGAGAGGCCGGAGGGGCCCAGACCACCCUCAGUGGAGUGGGGGUCGCACAGAUGUGUGUUUGAGUCUCCCGGCGGCCACUGACUUGCCCUGGUGACUCCGAAUCGGUCAUUACACCCUGGGAGCCUCUUUCCUCCCGCGUGAAAUGGGAUGUUACUGGAAGGACUCACAUCCAGCAGCGUUGCCGAAGGGAUAAAGGAGAUAACCGCCAGGCCCUAGUGAGCCCUCAGCAAGCGGCGAUUACUGCUGACACCCUCAUCAUGACAUGGCUGGCCUUCCAACUGGCCUCUGGCGCCCUGGGGACAGAACUAGUGCGGGAUCUUGUCCAGGUCCCCAGCCCACGGCCCAGAAGCCAGGACUCCUUACCAACCUGGCGCACUUCUGCUGCGUAAAUGUGAGCAGUCCCCCCCACCCCCGCCUGCCAGGCAGGACAGAGGAGACCCUCAUGGUCAAGUCAACGGUGGUUUUGAUCCCAGGGAGUCCCAGUUCUCACUGACUUGCUAUCUGCUCAGAAUGAGGCUUUUGUUAGUGACAAGGAGGUGGCUCCUCCCUCCCUGCUCCAUGAAGGCUGUGCUCUUUGGAAAGCUCAUUCCCCCACAGGGAGUGGCCGAUGAAAGAUAAUAUUGCCUUUGGUCUUCCUCUUCUCCCUUAAACAAUUGAAGGGGCCUUUCCUUUUCCCGUUUGGCUGGUUUGAAGCCCCUAAUUUGCUUUUGCGCGUCAGAUCUCGCCUCCGUGCCUGCUUUAUGGCUCAGCCAGCAGACCAAGGCACAUUUGUUUUCAGAUUUCCAUGCCAAUCUGGGGUGAGUGGGUUGGCAUCUAGCUGCCUCUCCUGCUCUUCCGGAGCACUUCAUGGGACGAGUUUGCACCCCGCCCCCGACCUGGAUUUGAGGGAGGACGAGUGUCCAGCUUUCCCCAGCUCCCUAUUCUGCUUUCUCAGGGGAUGUGUGAUCUUGAAUACUGGGUGCAAAUUCCCUGCCUGUCCCCACCUCGGCGUCCCAAAACCGUUUACAGAUCUGUGAGUCUAGGAUUCGUGCAUCCUCACGGAGCCCUGAGCAGUUCCUCCACGGGAUGGUGAAAAGCAAAUCAAGAAGGGCGUCUGCUCUAGCAGUUUCCUCUCCUUUGGGAUCAUAUUAAAUACUGUCCAGAGGCCUCGCUCGUCCCAGCGUCUGGCAGCACGGGCUCAAGGCCCUCCCUGCUUCCAGAUCCCGCAUUGGAGCCAUUUUUGGCAAGAGAAGUAGGGUCUGAUUUUAAAAAUGGCAUUUCCCCAAAAACUCUCGCGUUCAAGGUUCUCUGCUGCUGCCGUGGUGGCUGCAGUAAUGAGGAAGGCCCACCCCUCCGUGAGGGCCGUGCAGUACUCACACAGAAGUGCUCAGUGGAUAUCUGUUGAAUGGCCUUGAUGGGGGUUGAGAGGACAGACAUCUAUUGAACGCCAGUCAUGCGCCUGGAAUCCCCUGAGUGUCUAGGUACAAAAGUGAGUAGGAUACAAUCCAACAGACAAACCUAGUCUUGGUGGAGACAGGACUGUCGGCAGAAAACGUGCUAUCCUUCAGGCAGUGCGAAGAGAAUGCUGGGCGCUCACAGAGGGAUGGUACUCAGCCCAGGCUGGGGGUCCGGAGGCCUUCUGACAAGAGACGAUGGCCACGCUGAGCCAUGAGAAGCGAGACUGAGUUAGCACAAAGGAUAUUUGGGACAAGGACCGGGGGCAUGAAAGGCAUGAGAUCUGUGGGCACUCUGGCAACUGGGCACGACUAGAAUGUGAAGGAAAAGGCAGGAAAUGGCAAAGGACGAGCCAGUGGGCAGAGGGCCGGGAAAUGAAGGGCCUGUGUGGCGGACACACAGAGCAGCGGCCCAGACCCUGCUGCCCAGCCGCCCAGGGCCUGCCUCAGCUGCCCAGCCCCCCCUUAGCCCCCCUCCUCCACCACCAAGGCCUGGCCAUUGGGCCCCACUGUGGGGAGACGCUGAAGGGCGAUGCUCACUCCCGAGCUCCCCACCACCUGCCUGAGAUUUUGACUUCUGCCUCUGCGCAGUCCUGCCUCUGCCCCUUCCCCUCCCCGGGGGUUGAUCCUGUACCCCAAGCUCCAUCCCCGUGUCUGCUUCCGGUGACCCCCACUCGCUCCAGAAGAGGGGAUUUAUCAGACUGGUCAGUGCAGCAGACUCAGGGCUCUGGGCUCACCCUCUCUUUUCUCAGGACGGGCUCCAGCAGACAGGAACCACUGUCUAGUCUGUGCUCGAGGCCACGCAGCCAAUUCUGGGCCUGCUGGGAAGUCUCUGGUGGCCCCGUCCUGCGGGCACAGGGAAAAGCAGCCACAAGCCCAUUCUGCUCCCCAUGCAAGCAGCACCCCACCCAGCUGUAAUCUGUAGUAACACUGGCAUUUUAUCUUCAUCUGGCUGACCCUCAGUUCUGAACGUGGGCAGCGAAGAAGGGUGUUACUUUCCAAGGCCUCUCAAAUACCCCAACACUCACAAUCCAACCCUUUAAAAUGUCCUGAUGUGUCCGUUCCUCAGCAUCCAAGGAAUAUCAGUAACCGCUGUGGGAGAAAUAAAUGGUCAGAUCAAUGCGUGUUGCUCAGUCAAAAAGAUCCCCUCUCUCCAUAGGAGUUAUGGCUGAAUGAUUCAGUGCGGGUUCUACCUGCACGCACGGGGAUGAUGGACAGAAGCCUCGAUUUAAUUUCGGCUUCAGUAUUCAAUAAUGUUGCCUUAGUGGUGAGCCACAGCACACUUCCCCAAGGGAGGAGCCCCUGAACUUAACCUCAGAGUAUUUUGCAUCAGGAAUUCAGCAGAAUAUUUUGAGCCUGAAAACUACAGGACAUUCCAAUAAAAGGUGAAAGGGUCUUUUCCUCUAAAGUAAGAAAAAAAAUCAGAUGAACAUCUUUCUUGCAUCACCUGCUGGAGGUUAAACAAAAUGGUAAGUUCUCCACUUAAGGAGCAGAAGGUUAGAAGUCAUAGACCUUUUCCUGCUCCGCUACCGUCAGGGACUUGCUGAAUGACGUCACUCCAGACAUUUUAACUCUCUUGGUUCAUUUCCGUACCUAUAAAACGGCUGUGAUACCUGACAUGCUCUCCUCACGAGGGGCUUACGAUCAAGUGUGGUGUUUGAUUAUAAAUCGUACUAAGAGAUUUCAUUUAUUGGAUGUUGUGUGCUAAAAACAAUUCCAAGCACCUUUCAUGGAUUUUCACACAAUGAAGUUGUUGCUGUUGUCCCCAUUUAACAGAUGAGGAAACUGAGGUCCAGGCAGCUCAAGUAAUUUUCCCAGGUUCUCACAGUUCGUACAAGCAGAGCUAGACCUUGAACCCAGAUCACGGAACGCAGAUCUAUCUGACGCCAAAUCUGGUGCUUUUAACCACCCUACUGUCUGCUUUUUAUGCUGAAAACAGUGUGAGGGAAUAGAAAACUACUGAGUGUCAGAGGCGCCCCUCACCCUGCCUCAGGUGAGGCAUUAACCCUCUCUGGGAAGAUAGAAUAAUGGCCCCCAGAGACAUCUACACCCUAAUUCUUGGAACUUGUGAAUAUGCUCUGAUACUUGACCAAGAGAAAUUCAGGUGGCAGGGGGAAUUAAGGCUGUUAAUAGCUGAGCUUAACAUGGGGAGAGUAUCCUGGAUUAUCCAGCUGGGCCAAAGGUGAUCACAAGGGUCCUUGAGAGUGGCAGGGACAGGCACAGGAGGUCAGGGGCUGUGACGGGAGAAGGGUUCAUCCCACACUGCUGGCUUUGAAGCUGGAAAGGGGCCACGAGCCAAGGAAUGCAGGCAGCCCUUGGAAAGCAAGGCAACCCCGCUGGCAUCUUAAGUUUAGUCCAGGGAGGCCCAUGUUGGACUUCUAACCUACAGAGCUAUGAGGUAAUCAAUUCGUGUCGUUCCAAGCCAGUAAGGCUGCAGCGAUGCAUUACCACAGCAGCAGAAACCAAUGCACCGUGCACCUGCUUGUAGAUGGAAGGCGUUUGGCUUGAAGCUGAUUGCUCGCGCUUUUCAACCUCUGACUUCCUCUGAGUUUGGGCUCUGUGCAGUUCUUUCUAAAGCAUGGGCAAAAGCAUGGGAGUAAGUGACAAGACGUGACUUGCCCCUGGAACUUAAUAGGCAACCAGCCUGGGGCCCGCGUCUCAGCUCGUGCCCACCCUACCCAUUGUCCUCUGCCCCACUCCCCCACCUUCCACCACCAGCAGAGGCCCCCUCCAGGCUUCCCAGGCUGACAGGAGGCUCAGAGAGUCUGGAGCCAACAGUAGAAUAGAACAGCAGCCCUUUGAUCCUCAUACAUUUAGAUCCUGCAAAGCUGCCUUGUUUGUGCUGCCUAAUGGACAUUAGUCCAAAGUGGCUAUUUACUUUCGAAUAUAAGGAGUGGGGGGCGCCUGGGAGGCUCAGUCCUUAAGCGUCUGCCUUUGGCUCAGCUCAUGACCCCAGGAUCCAAGUCCUGCAUCGGGCUCUCUGCUCAGUGGGGAACCUGCUUCUCCCUCUCCCUCUGCCUCUCCACCCCACUCGUGCGUGCACGCUCUCUCAAAUAAAUAAAUAAAAUCUUUUAAAAAAUAGAAUAUAAGGAGUGGGAAGAAACAUGAAGAACUGAGAGUGAGGGCAGGGAUUCUACACUCCCUCCCGUGCCCCUUCUGCAGCUGCUUCACGUUCUGGACGCAUUCCAAAGCUUCUUGAAACAGAGCCCUGCCAAACAACACGUGAGCCCCUUGGUGGUCCCUAUCACAUUUUCAGGAGCCAUAAGAGAUUUAAGUGGGAAGGAGUCAGCCAGGUGCUGGGGCUGCUGCUGAUCAGAGAGAGGUCAUUACCUAGGGCCAAGGUCUCCAUUUGGGGGAGGGGGAGUCUUAAGAUGGACAACUGGAGGACAACUGGGAGGGGGUGGGUGACUGAAGUCUCUGAGCAGAGAGGGGAGGGGACUUGAGGUCCGUGUCCUUCCAGGCUGGGCCUCUGGAUGGAGAGCUUGGCUGGGGGCACCUGCAGGGGCUUGGACAUGUCUGCAGGAAGAGACCUGCGGCCUUUGUCACCAAAUCUGACGAUUCAUAGGAGCACAGGAUGACAGAACUGCAGGCUGUACCACCUUCUCUGUUUUUGCCAGAAGCAAAAGCCCUCCAUACCACUCUUUAUAGUCACUUUCUCUUUAAAUGACUCCAUUUUUCCUUCAAGAAAUUUAUUUUUAAAAGACUUUUUUUUUUUAUCACCAUCUAUGGUAGAAACUGCUAGCGCUCACCCUUUUCAGUCUUCCUCCCUUUCCGGACACAUGGGAAGACGAUAGCCCUGACGCCUCCCGCCCCCUCCGCGCACACCGCCUUCGGCUGAAUGGAGGAGCCUCGUGACCGUCUUAGCCAGCGGAUUAUGGAGGUCCUGGCUUCCAUCAUUGCUGAUCUUCGUCUUCCUCACCCCUCCAGAUGCCAUCUCCUCCCUCCCCAUCAAGGCAAAUUAUAGAAGAUCUUCGGGCCCUCAAUUGUCCUCUGUGAUCCAACAGCCCGGCUGUCGAUUUGGCACGACCUGGAGUGGCCACCAGCAUAGACACACCGGGCGCUUCUAUGCUUGUUUAUGUGGUCUGGGUCCUCAUCACCUCCCUGUCUCUUCCCCAGAGAUCUCUGGCCAUCCCUCAACAGGCAAAGGCUGAAUGGGUCCACAUCUCCAUUGUUAGACCUCUCUGCUCGCAAGCUGCUGAUGAGACAGCCACAUGAGGGUGACCACGGCUCUGAGGACUGCAGUCCUGCUCUGGGCCAGCCUAGCCACCUGCUGCCACGGUCUCAUGAAAGGGAGAGGAUGGAGAGGCCAAUGACUGGAGGGACAGGUCAAGGAGAUAAGAGUUCUGAUGGAAAUAUUGUCAAAAGCCAAGACAUUGGCAUGAUGAAAGCUCCCCCUUUUUUUAGCCCAGAAUGAGGGGGACCAGACCAUUCGCUAACCCCACAGAUGGUUAUCCCCGGCAGGAACGUGGGCAGCAAUAGCAACCUCAAGGGCAUCAGGUCCUCAGCUUCACUCAGGGGACACCGGGCCAGGGCUCACCUGUCCCAGGUGGUUACUGAUGAUGAAUAAAUAAAUGCCUUAACCUGGA